Molecule: long non-coding RNA, 166 nt
Organism: Mytilus californianus (California mussel)
Lineage: Eukaryota; Metazoa; Mollusca; Bivalvia; Mytilida; Mytilidae
Exons: 3
Source: RefSeq, a predicted model, not a curated record
UGGUCAAUUUAAUCUUCACCAAGUCUGAGGCUUUACCAUGAAAAAUAUGUGGUUGUUAUAAUGAUGAUGUUUUCAUGGUGUUGGGAGUAAGACUUGGAUGUCUGAUAUUGUUAACAUGUUGGUUAGCAUCAGGUUUCCAUUGGGUUACAUGCUGGGAUAAAGCUGU